Molecule: transfer RNA, 75 nt
Filed under: Clostridiales bacterium
Lineage: Bacteria; Bacillati; Bacillota; Clostridia; Eubacteriales
Description: tRNA-Thr
Rfam family: tRNA
About the family: Transfer RNA (tRNA) molecules are approximately 80 nucleotides in length. Their secondary structure includes four short double-helical elements and three loops (D, anti-codon, and T loops).
Source: RNAcentral
GCCGCUGUGGCUCAGGGGUAGAGCGAUUCACUCGUAAUGAAUAGGUCGAGGGUCCGAUUCCCUCCAGCGGCUCCA